Molecule: microRNA precursor, 134 nt
Filed under: Tursiops truncatus (common bottlenose dolphin)
Lineage: Eukaryota; Metazoa; Chordata; Mammalia; Artiodactyla; Delphinidae
Description: miRNA (ENSTTRG00000023540.1)
Source: RNAcentral
CUGACAUUUAAUUUAGAUUACUGAUGGAUCUCCCUCUGUUCUUUCUAGAUUCUAUAGUCAGAUAAGUGAACACCUUUCUCAAACACAAAGCAAUUAAUGCCAUUUUUUGUUCAAAUUUAUCCAAAGAAUUCCCA